This is a long non-coding RNA of Pistacia vera, 460 nucleotides long. RefSeq lists it as uncharacterized. The transcript is spliced from 3 exons. The record is from RefSeq and is a predicted model, not a curated record. NCBI's taxonomy places the organism in Eukaryota, Viridiplantae, Streptophyta, Magnoliopsida, Sapindales, Anacardiaceae.
CCUUUGCAGUUUAGUCUACUUGAUCUAUUUUUUAUUUUGUUUCCUGCAUUAUUGUUGUCUUUGCUUCCAGCUUAUGGUAUAUUUUAUCAGUUGAUUGAAAUCUUUUUUGUUGCAUGUUGCAGCACCAGCCCUGAACUUCUACUGAAUCCUGUAAUGGCAGAUGAACUUGAAAACAUUCUAACUAAGAAGUUUCUCAGAAUUUUGUCAAUGAGGGCAGAAGCAUUUCAAGUGUUAAGGAGAAAGCCAUUACAGGACAUUGAUAAAUAGAUAAGUGAAUUGAAAAUGUCAGUUAACACAUGAGGUAGGCUGGUGGCUACCGAGUUUCUGAAGCAAUUCGUACCAAGAUUGGAAAAUCUCUAUGGUUUUGGAUGUCUGAUUUUUAAUCAUUGACCAGUUUAUGGAUCAUAUUGAUUACCCUUGAAGAUUAUCUCUUCACUGUUUAUGUACUUUCAGGAUCUUG